Molecule: ribosomal RNA, 753 nt
Filed under: Lentilactobacillus buchneri
Lineage: Bacteria; Bacillati; Bacillota; Bacilli; Lactobacillales; Lactobacillaceae
Description: bacterial SSU rRNA
Rfam family: Bacterial small subunit ribosomal RNA
Source: RNAcentral
UAAUACAUGCAAGUCGAACGCGUCUCCGUUAAUGAUUUUAGGUGCUUGCACUUGAAAGAUUUAACAUUGAGACGAGUGGCGAACUGGUGAGUAACACGUGGGUAACCUGCCCUUGAAGUAGGGGAUAACACUUGGAAACAGGUGCUAAUACCGUAUAACAACCAAAACCACCUGGUUUUGGUUUAAAAGACGGCUUCGGCUGUCACUUUAGGAUGGACCCGCGGCGUAUUAGCUUGUUGGUAAGGUAACGGCUUACCAAGGCGAUGAUACGUAGCCGACCUGAGAGGGUAAUCGGCCACAUUGGGACUGAGACACGGCCCAAACUCCUACGGGAGGCAGCAGUAGGGAAUCUUCCACAAUGGACGAAAGUCUGAUGGAGCAACGCCGCGUGAGUGAUGAAGGGUUUCGGCUCGUAAAACUCUGUUGUUGGAGAAGAACAGGUGUCAGAGUAACUGUUGACAUCUUGACGGUAUCCAACCAGAAAGCCACGGCUAACUACGUGCCAGCAGCCGCGGUAAUACGUAGGUGGCAAGCGUUGUCCGGAUUUAUUGGGCGUAAAGCGAGCGCAGGCGGUUUUUUAGGUCUGAUGUGAAAGCCUUCGGCUUAACCGGAGAAGUGCAUCGGAAACCGGGAGACUUGAGUGCAGAAGAGGACAGUGGAACUCCAUGUGUAGCGGUGAAAUGCGUAGAUAUAUGGAAGAACACCAGUGGCGAAGGCGGCUGUCUGGUCUGUAACUGACGCUGAGGCUCGAAA